RNAcentral lists this ribosomal RNA (465 nucleotides) under uncultured bacterium. RNAcentral describes it as "partial 16S ribosomal RNA". It matches the Rfam family "Bacterial small subunit ribosomal RNA", at positions 339 to 795 of the family's 1533-position model. The record is from RNAcentral.
CUACGGGGCGCACCAGUGGGGAAUAUUGCACAAUGGGCGCAAGCCUGAUGCAGCCAUGCCGCGUGUAUGAAGAAGGCCUUCGGGUUGUAAAGUACUUUCAGCGGGGAGGAAGGUAGUAAAGUUAAUACCUUUGCUCAUUGACGUUACCCGCAGAAGAAGCACCGGCUAACUCGGGUGCCAGCAGCCGCGGUAAUACGGAGGGUGCAAGCGUUAAUCGGAAUUACUGGGCGUAAAGCGCACGCAGGCGGUUUGUUAAGUCAGAUGUGAAAUCCCCGGGCUCAACCUGGGAACUGCAUCUGAUACUGGCAAGCUUGAGUGUGGUAGAGGGGGGUAGAAUUCCAGGUGUAGCGGUGAAAUGCGUAGAGAUCUGGAGGAAUACCGAUGGCGAAGGCGGCCCCCUGGACGAAGACUGACGCUCAGGUGCGAAAGCGUGGGGAGCAAACAGGAUUAGAUACCCCGGUAGUC